UUUUUUCGCAUACUCCGAGCUAGUUUACCUAAGUCGAUAGAUAAGGUGGCUAUGCCAAACACAUUAAGUGUUUCACGGAUAGAUUGGAAACGGUCUAUCCCCUCGUAUUUAGAAAGGUGUUUAUGCAACAAUAUA
RNAcentral lists this non-coding RNA (135 nucleotides) under Gallibacterium salpingitidis. RNAcentral's name for it is "MoCo sequence". It matches the Rfam family "Molybdenum/Tungsten riboswitch aptamer (Moco RNA motif)". The record is from Rfam by way of RNAcentral. Lineage: Bacteria; Pseudomonadati; Pseudomonadota; Gammaproteobacteria; Pasteurellales; Pasteurellaceae.